UAGAGGAAGUAAAAGUCGUAACAAGGUUUCCGUAGGUGAACCUGCGGAAGGAUCAUUACAGUAGUCGCCCGGGUUGCCGCAAGGCCUCCCGGGUAACCUACCACCCUUUGUUUAUUACACUUUGUUGCUUUGGCAGGCCUGCCCUCGGGCUGCUGGCUCCGGCCGGCGAGCGUCUGCCAGAGGACCUAAACUCUGUUUGUCUAUACUGUCUGAGUACUAUAUAAUAGUUAAAACUUUCAACAACGGAUCUCUUGGUUCUGGCAUCGAUGAAGAACGCAGCGAAAUGCGAUAAGUAAUGUGAAUUGCAGAAUUCAGUGAAUCAUCGAAUCUUUGAACGCACAUUGCGCCCCCUGGUAUUCCGGGGGGCAUGCCUGUCCGAGCGUCAUUACAACCCUCAAGCUCAGCUUGGUGUUGGGCCCCGCCGCCCCGGCGGGCCCUAAAGUCAGUGGCGGUGCCGUCCGGCUCCGAGCGUAGUAAUUCUUCUCGCUCUGGAGGCCCGGUCGUGUGCUCGCCAGCAACCCCCAAUUUUUUUCAGGUUGACCUCGGAUCAGGUAGGGAUACCCGCUGACUUAAGCAUAU
Molecule: ribosomal RNA, 579 nt
Filed under: Geomyces sp. 15PA11
Lineage: Eukaryota; Fungi; Ascomycota; Leotiomycetes; Thelebolales; Pseudeurotiaceae
Description: eukaryotic LSU rRNA
Rfam family: 5.8S ribosomal RNA (bases 232-385)
Source: RNAcentral